UAUGUGAAUUUUUAUUAUAGAAAAUCUAAUUGUAGUGAUUACAAAAGCUUGAUACAGAAGAUAACCUUUGUCCAAAAAAAUAAAAACAAUGGGAUAUCUGCAAAUAGACCGAAAGUAUCAAUAUGAUCUAUAGAUUUCUAAGCCACACUUGCAAAAGCCUUUUGAAAAUUUUCCGAUGUGCCUUUGCGAGGAUGGCAUCCCGUAUUUGCCGAUCAAGAACCUUGAAGAGAACCUGUGCUGGGUGGAUAAAUUGUUAUGCAUCCUGUUGUUUCUUUCAAUCCAAAUUGUGUAGACUAGCGCCUGAGCAACAAGACGACGAAGCGUUUGUGGAGAAGUGGUGUCUUUGAUGUCCAUCCAAGCCGAGAAAGCAUCCCAUGUGUGGAAACAAAGGGAGUGUAUCCUAACCGCCGAGUUACCUCUAACCAUAGCAGCUCACUGAAGUCGCAGUGAAGGAAGAGAUGGUCUGGCGACUCUGGAUCACGACCACACAGACAACAGGUUGUGUCCAGUUUUCCAAAGGAACACUUCAGGUGUGUUUGAGAGACUCGGAGGGGUUAAUGUGGUGAGGUGGAUUUGCAGAGUCUCCGCCUGGGGAGAGCGUGCAGAUUGAAUGAGCCACCCUGUAGGAGAACAUGCUUGAGCGACUGUUGAUGAAAUGAGGAUACCUAUUUGCCUUGGACCAGAUUGUCCCAUUAGUUGAAUUAGUGGACCUAGUGGAGUCCACCAAUCAAACCAGAAACUUACUUGCUGACCGUUACCCACUUCGCACCUGAGGAAUCUAAGUGUGAGAGGUCGAAGUUGCAGUAAGGUUCUCCAAGUCCAAGACUCAUGUUGCUUAGGUUCUCCAAGUCCAAGAGUCAACAACUAAUUCAUUUAUCGAUAUCUAUUUCUUUUUUCUAAAACAUUUGUUGAUUAGGUGAAAACAUUAACUCCCAACGUUUUUUCAAAUC
Molecule: non-coding RNA, 950 nt
Organism: Camelina sativa (false flax)
Lineage: Eukaryota; Viridiplantae; Streptophyta; Magnoliopsida; Brassicales; Brassicaceae
Source: RefSeq, a predicted model, not a curated record